AACAACGGAUCUCUUGGUUCCGGCAUCGAUGAAGAACGCAGCGAAAUGCGAUACGUAAUGUGAAUUGCAGAAUUCAGUGAAUCAUCGAGUCUUUGAACGCACAUUGCGCCCUCUGGUAUUCCGGAGGGCAUGCCUGUCCGAGCGUCAUUG
Molecule: ribosomal RNA, 150 nt
Filed under: Penicillium lanosum
Lineage: Eukaryota; Fungi; Ascomycota; Eurotiomycetes; Eurotiales; Aspergillaceae
Description: 5.8S ribosomal RNA
Rfam family: 5.8S ribosomal RNA
About the family: 5.8S ribosomal RNA (5.8S rRNA) is a component of the large subunit of the eukaryotic ribosome.
Source: RNAcentral